Molecule: ribosomal RNA, 443 nt
Filed under: uncultured bacterium
Lineage: Bacteria
Description: partial 16S ribosomal RNA
Rfam family: Bacterial small subunit ribosomal RNA
Source: RNAcentral
CCUACGGGUGGCAGCAGUGAGGAAUAUUGGUCAAUGGACGCAAGUCUGAACCAGCCAUGCCGCGUGAGUGAAGAAGUAUUUCGGUAUGUAAAGCUCUGUCAGCAGGGAAGAAAGCAAUGACGGUACCUGACCAAGCAGCCCCGGCUAACUACGUGCCAACAGCCGCGGUAAUACGUAGGGGGCAAGCGUUAUCCGGAAUUACUGGGUGUAAAGGGAGCGUAGACGGCUGUGCAAGUCUGGAGUGAAAGGCGGGGGCCCAACCCCCGGACUGCUCUGGAAACUGUAUGGCUGGAGUGCAGGAGAGGUAAGCGGAAUUCCUAGUGUAGCGGUGAAAUGCGUAGAUAUUAGGAGGAACACCAGUGGCGAAGGCGGCUUACUGGACUGUAACUGACGCUGAGGCACGAAAGCGUGGGUAUCGAACAGGAUUAGAUACCCCAGUAGUC